RNAcentral lists this ribosomal RNA (274 nucleotides) under uncultured bacterium. Its description in RNAcentral is "partial 16S ribosomal RNA". It matches the Rfam family "Bacterial small subunit ribosomal RNA", at positions 523 to 796 of the family's 1533-position model. The record is from RNAcentral.
AUACGUAGGUGGCGAGCGUUAUUCGGAUUUACUGGGCGUAAAGGGUCCGCAGGGGGUCAUCUAAGUCUGGUGUGAAAGCCAGCGGCUUAACCGCUGAACUGUAUUAGAUACUGGAUGACUAGAGUACAGAAGAGGAGAGUGGAAUUUUUGGUGUAGCGGUGGAAUGCGUAGAUAUCAAAAGGAACGCCAAGGGCGAAGGCAACUCUCUGGAAUGUUACUGACCCUCAGGGACGAAAGCUAGGGGAGCAAACAGGAUUAGAAACCCCAGUAGUCC